RNAcentral lists this ribosomal RNA (208 nucleotides) under uncultured bacterium. RNAcentral describes it as "partial 16S ribosomal RNA". It matches the Rfam family "Bacterial small subunit ribosomal RNA", at positions 568 to 775 of the family's 1533-position model. The record is from RNAcentral.
AGCGUAGGCGGACAUUUAAGUCAGGGGUGAAAUCCCGGGGCUCAACCUCGGAAUUGCCUUUGAUACUGGGUAUCUUGAGUAUGAGAGAGGUGUGUGGAACUCCGAGUGUAGAGGUGAAAUUCGUAGAUAUUCGGAAGAACACCAGUGGCGAAGGCGACACACUGGCUCAUUACUGACGCUGAGGCUCGAAAGCGUGGGGAGCAAACGA